GCACCCGUAGCUCAGGGGAUAGAGCGAUUGCCUCCGGAGCAAUAGGCCGUAGGUUCGAAUCCUAUCGGGUGUACCA
RNAcentral lists this transfer RNA (76 nucleotides) under Pseudomonadota bacterium. RNAcentral's name for it is "Proteobacteria bacterium (freshwater metagenome) tRNA-Arg". It matches the Rfam family "tRNA". From Rfam's summary of the family: Transfer RNA (tRNA) molecules are approximately 80 nucleotides in length. Their secondary structure includes four short double-helical elements and three loops (D, anti-codon, and T loops). Lineage: Bacteria; Pseudomonadati; Pseudomonadota. The record is from RNAcentral. RNAcentral also lists the same sequence under 1 other name.